GACGAACGCUGGCGGCGUGCUUAACACAUGCAAGUCGAACGGAAAGGCCCUGCUUUUGUGGGGUGCUCGAGUGGCGAACGGGUGAGUAACACGUGAGUAACCUGCCCUUGACUUUGGGAUAACUUCAGGAAACUGGGGCUAAUACCGGAUAGGAGCUCCUGCUGCAUGGUGGGGGUUGGAAAGUUUCGGCGGUUGGGGAUGGACUCGCGGCUUAUCAGCUUGUUGGUGGGUAGUGGCUUACCAAGGCUUUGACGGGUAGCCGGCCUGAGAGGGUGACCGGCCACAUUGGGACUGAGAUACGGCCCAGACUCCUACGGGAGGCAGCAGUGGGGAAUAUUGCACAAUGGGCGGAAGCCUGAUGCAGCAACGCCGCGUGCGGGAUGACGGCCUUCGGGUUGUAAACCGCUUUCGCGUGUGACGAAGCGUGAGUGACGGUAAUGGGUAAAGAAGCACCGGCUAACUACGUG
This 467-nucleotide ribosomal RNA is filed under the name uncultured bacterium. RNAcentral's name for it is "partial 16S ribosomal RNA". It matches the Rfam family "Bacterial small subunit ribosomal RNA", at positions 28 to 507 of the family's 1533-position model. The record is from RNAcentral.